GAUGAACGCUAGCGGCAGGCCUAAUACAUGCAAGUCGAACGGUAGAUCGGGUAGCAAUACUUGAUUGAGAGUGACGUAAGGGUGCGUAACACGUAUGCAAUCUACCCUCAACAGGAGUAUAGCUCGGGGAAACUCGGAUUAACACUCCAUAACAUUACGAUGUGGCAUCACAUUGUGAUUAAAACUCCGGUGGUUGAGGAUGAGCAUGCGUCUGAUUAGUUAGUUGGAGGUGUAACGGACCCCCAAGACGAUGAUCAGUAGGGGAACUGAGAGGUUGAUCCCCCACACUGGCACUGAGAUACGGGCCAGACUCCUACGGGAGGCAGCAGUAGGGAAUAUUGGUCAAUGGGUGAGAGCCUGAACCAGCCAUGCCGCGUGCAGGAUGACGGCCCUAUGGGUUGUAAACUGCUUUUUANAUGGGAAGAAACACUCCGACGUGUCGGAGCUUGACGGUACCAUACGAAUAAGGAUCGGCUAACUCCGUG
This 485-nucleotide ribosomal RNA is filed under the name uncultured bacterium. RNAcentral describes it as "bacterial SSU rRNA". It matches the Rfam family "Bacterial small subunit ribosomal RNA", at positions 28 to 507 of the family's 1533-position model. The record is from RNAcentral.